GUGAUGAGGUAUACCGCGCCGUUGAGACGUGAUGGCAGAAUCCACAGCUGA
This 51-nucleotide small nucleolar RNA is filed under the name Pyrobaculum neutrophilum V24Sta. Its description in RNAcentral is "PNEsR64". Lineage: Archaea; Thermoproteati; Thermoproteota; Thermoprotei; Thermoproteales; Thermoproteaceae. The record is from RNAcentral.